This 242-nucleotide long non-coding RNA is filed under the name Lathyrus oleraceus (garden pea). RNAcentral describes it as "Pisum sativum (pea) long non-coding RNA (PSAT_LNC037128)". Lineage: Eukaryota; Viridiplantae; Streptophyta; Magnoliopsida; Fabales; Fabaceae. The record is from RNAcentral.
GGGUUUGUUUCCUAUAUGUCUAUAUUUAUUUUUCAUAACUCCAUGUUCACGGGUUUAUCCUUGUUGUUUUUUUUUGUUUUUUUUAUUUUGAAUUGAUUAUUUUUUAUUGAUCAAUUGAUUAGGUUUUUGAUUAUUUAGAUAAUUAUAGUUUUAGUUGUUUAAUUUUUAUUAAGCGGUUGUUGAACUUUUCAUUGCGUUACAAUUUUGAAGUUUAAAUUCAAUUUAUCUUUCGAAAAUAAUUU